CCUCUGAUAGCUCAGUUGGUAGAGCGGUGGACUGUAGAUGAAAUUCAGAAAUCCAUAGGUCGCUGGUUCAAAUCCGGCUCAGAGGA
This is a transfer RNA of Trichinella zimbabwensis, 86 nucleotides long. It matches the Rfam family "tRNA". Rfam says of the family: Transfer RNA (tRNA) molecules are approximately 80 nucleotides in length. The record is from Rfam. Lineage: Eukaryota; Metazoa; Nematoda; Enoplea; Trichinellida; Trichinellidae.